GGAAUUACUGGGCGUAAAGCGAGCGUAGGUGGCUUGAUAAGUCAGAUGUGAAAUCCCCGGGCUUAACCUGGGAACUGCAUCUGAUACUGUUAAGCUAGAGUAGGUGAGAGGGAAGUAGAAUUCCAGGUGUAGCGGUGAAAUGCGUAGAGAUCUGGAGGAAUACCGAUGGCGAAGGCAGCUUCCUGGCAUCAUACUGACACUGAGGCUCGAAAGCGUGGGUAGCAAACAGGAUUAGAUACCCUGGUAGUCCACGCCGUAAACGAUGUCUACUAGUCGUUGGGUCCCUUGAGGACUUAGUGACGCAGCUAACGCAAUAAGUAGACCGCCUGGGGAGUACGGCCGCAAGGUUAAAACUCAAAUGAAUUGACGGGGGCCCGCACAAGCGGUGGAGCAUGUGGUUUAAUUCGAUGCAACGCGAAGAACCUUACCUGGUCUUGACAUACACAGAAUCUUGUAGAGAUACGAGAGUGCCUUCGGGAAUUGUGAUACAGGUGCUGCAUGGCUGUCGUCAGCUCGUGUCGUGAGAUGUUGGGUUAAGUCCCGCAACGAGCGCAACCCUUGUCCUUAGUUACCAGCGGGUUAAGCCGGGAACUCUAAGGAUACUGCCAGUGACAAACUGGAGGAAGGCGGGGACGACGUCAAGUCAUCAUGGCCCUUACGACCAGGGCUACACACGUGCUACAAUGGUAGGUACAGAGGGCAGCUACACAGCGAUGUGAUGCGAAUCUCAAAAAGCCUAUCGUAGUCCAGAUUGGAGUCUGCAACUCGACUCCAUGAAGUAGGAAUCGCUAGUAAUCGCGGAUCAGAAUGCCGCGGUGAAUACGUUCCCGGGCCUUGUACACACCGCCCGUCACACCAUGGGAGUUGAUUGCACCAGAAGUGGUUAGCCUAACUUAG
This 897-nucleotide ribosomal RNA is filed under the name Psychrobacter celer. Its description in RNAcentral is "bacterial SSU rRNA". It matches the Rfam family "Bacterial small subunit ribosomal RNA", at positions 547 to 1443 of the family's 1533-position model. Lineage: Bacteria; Pseudomonadati; Pseudomonadota; Gammaproteobacteria; Moraxellales; Moraxellaceae. The record is from RNAcentral.